Spodoptera frugiperda (fall armyworm) is the source of this 552-nucleotide long non-coding RNA. RefSeq lists it as uncharacterized. NCBI's taxonomy places the organism in Eukaryota, Metazoa, Arthropoda, Insecta, Lepidoptera, Noctuidae. The record is from RefSeq and is a predicted model, not a curated record. The transcript has 2 exons.
AAUAUUUUAUAUUCAUAUUUACCUCUUAGUCUGGUACAGUACCAUCGUGUUCAUAUAUCCUAUAAACUUAUUUUAUAUUUUAUUAUUAAUCAAAUAAAUUAUAACUUUGAAUUUUAAGAAGUAACUUUGACAAUGAAGAAUUUUCUCUUAUAUCUUAUGAUUGCGGUGUUUAUUUUCAAUUUGGGAUUUAUUGCUGUUUCUGGGGGGCGAUUCAUGACUGCAAGAAAAAUAAGAAAACUUUACACUAAGAAUAACACUGCUACGACUACCAAUACUGCAACAGGAUAAUUUUGAAAAACAAAAUGUCGUCGUAUUUUCAAAAAUGAAUCUGCAAAAAUGAGAGGUCUUAGUACGAGUUUGUUUUACGUUUAGCGAGUUCGAAAUGAGAGCGCGAUCGGCGCUCUGAUUGGUUCAUCUAUCCGCACUGGCCAAUCAGAGCGCCGGACGCGCUCUCGUUUCGUUUUCGUCUAACGUAAAUCAAAGUCGUACUAAGGGUACUACUGAACGCUUUUUCAAAUUUUGUAUUUUAUGAUAAAUAAAUGUUAAUACAAC